Molecule: non-coding RNA, 545 nt
Organism: Penaeus vannamei (Pacific white shrimp)
Lineage: Eukaryota; Metazoa; Arthropoda; Malacostraca; Decapoda; Penaeidae
Source: RefSeq, a predicted model, not a curated record
AUGCCUGGGGAAGGAAGGGAGAGAAGUCCCUGUGAAAUCAACUGGAGAAACGACAUUUGGAAGAUAAUGAUGAGACGUGUGAUGGCAACACUAAUCAUAAAAACAAUAAGGAUGAUGAUAUUAAUAAUGGAUGAUAAUGGAAACAUGACAUAAUGAAUGUGAUGAUAAUCGCUGAUUGUUGUGUAUUCGUUUUUCAGUUUCUCCAAUUCCGAGCAUUCCAUAACACUCAACUAGAAGGCACGAAGUCCGGACACUUGAGGAUGACGUGGAUGAACUCGGACUGGGAGAGGCGGCCGUCGCAGUCCACGUCCGCCUCCUCCAACACCUGGAAGCAGAGAGUGAGACUGAGAGGAUAUGGGGGCGGUUUUGCAUGGCGCUCGAAACCUCUAAAAAGGGAGCAGGUGUAUAAGUAAAAAGAAAGCCUGCACUUGACUGUACCUUAGCGACAAUAGUGCUGUAUUCAUCGGGCGUGAGUAGGUCGUGGGAAAGGUGCUUCACGGCGUGCAGGAGGUCGGACUCGCCGAGGAAGCCAUCGCCGUCGAAAU